Molecule: long non-coding RNA, 899 nt
Organism: Ornithodoros turicata
Lineage: Eukaryota; Metazoa; Arthropoda; Arachnida; Ixodida; Argasidae
Exons: 3
Source: RefSeq, a predicted model, not a curated record
UUUGCGAUCGCAUACAAGAGUGAGCCAUCUUUUGACGAUGGUAGGAUAAUUAUUGACCUGAGGAAUAAUAUGGAUUUAUGUGGUUGUGAGAAUAGACGUUGUGUUUGUGAUUGUGAAAAUGUGAGUGUGUGUCUGUGUGUGCGCGCGCGCUUUCCUGAACCAGGGAUCCCACUUGACAAGUUGACCUUGUCUAGAGGAGCAUUAGUGGAAAAAAACUGUGUAGCCCUGAGACAAUAGGAUGCCGUUACGACCAAUGAGAACGGCCUGCAGGGGGCGCAAGGAUUCACUUCUCUCUUGGACACUGACGGGUCUCGAAACGCAAAUUCUGCUCCUGGCGUUGGCCGUCAGUGGAAGAGCGUAGCUUAGGUGGGGUUCUGUCUGCCUCUGAUGGGGUGCGGAUGUGUGGUUCGUCACUGGUGAAUGGUGUUCGACGAUGCAGGUGGAUUUUGUGACGAGCGGAUUUACAAUGAGGGAAUGCUGUGAACGGGAAAAAUGAUGAGCUGUCCUAACUUGCCCAGACAUGCCAUGAUGACGUCACAGCUGACGUCACAGGAUGUCCGGAACUUGUGGUCAUAGCUGGGAUGCUUUGCAACCUGCCUCUGUGCUCCGUCGCCCGGCGAUGGUCAGCGGCCUUUCCGGGCCGCUUCCUUCAAGAUGGCGUCGUUGAUCUUCAACUAAACUCCUUCUCUCCACUCUAUCUCUAUCUAUUUUUUUAUUUUUUAUGACCACGUUUAUCCGGAAACGCACAGGGUGGUCUGGACACUAGUUAGACGCUCCCCAAUUAGUGUGAUGACUCAUUGGAUGAUGCUGAUUAAUGUGGGGGGUCCCAAUUAGCUCUAAUUGCUAAUUAAUGGCGUCCAGAAGCCUUGUAGCGUUUCCGGAUAAGCGUGGUCAGUACU